UCCGAGUUGACCCCGGCAGUCUCUCAUGAGUCCCCGGCAUAACCCGCUGGCAACAUGAAACGAGGGUUGCGCUCGUUGCGGGACUUAACCCAACAUCUCACGACACGAGCUGACGACAACCAUGCACCACCUGUACACCGCCCCGAAGGACCCCACAUCUCUGCGAGUUUUCGAUGUAUGUCAAGCCUUGGUAAGGUUCUUCGCGUUGCGUCGAAUUAAGCCGCAUGCUCCGCCGCUUGUGCGGGCCCCCGUCAAUUCCUUUGAGUUUUAGCCUUGCGGCCGUACUCCCCAGGCGGGGCGCUUAAUGCGUUAGCUACGGCACGGAGAUCGUGGAAAGACCCCCACACCUAGCGCCCACCGUUUACGGCGUGGACUAC
Molecule: unclassified non-coding RNA, 377 nt
Filed under: uncultured Actinomycetes bacterium
Lineage: Bacteria; Bacillati; Actinomycetota; Actinomycetes
Description: uncultured actinobacterium contains 16S-23S intergenic spacer region
Source: RNAcentral